UUUUAUUUGAGAGUUUGAUCCUGGCUCAGGAUGAACGCUGGCGGCGUGCCUAACACAUGCAAGUUGAGCGAUUUACUUCGGUAAAGAGCGGCGGACGGGUGAGUAACGCGUGGGUAACCUACCCUGUACACACGGAUAACAUACCGAAAGGUAUGCUAAUACGGGAUAAUAUAUUUGAGAGGCAUCUCUUGAAUAUCAAAGGUGAGCCAGUACAGGAUGGACCCGCGUCUGAUUAGCUAGUUGGUAAGGUAACGGCUUACCAAGGCGACGAUCAGUAGCCGACCUGAGAGGGUGAUCGGCCACAUUGGAACUGAGACACGGUC
This 323-nucleotide ribosomal RNA is filed under the name Clostridioides difficile. Its description in RNAcentral is "bacterial SSU rRNA". It matches the Rfam family "Bacterial small subunit ribosomal RNA", at positions 1 to 331 of the family's 1533-position model. Lineage: Bacteria; Bacillati; Bacillota; Clostridia; Peptostreptococcales; Peptostreptococcaceae. The record is from RNAcentral.